CACGCAACAUUAGUGCGGAAAGUAAACGCUACUGUGCGUACUUCUCGUACCACCGGCCUGUACUGUCAGUACUUGCGUUGCCUAGUGAACCUCAAGAGUCCACACAACACGAGUAAUUCAACGAUCAUGAGAUCUGGACAUCGCUGCUGAUAGAGGAUACCGGCAUUUCUCGUCCUUGGCCUGACAAUCCAGCGGUAGUCAGUGUUGUUCUCUCAUCAUUUUUCCUGCAGUCGGGGCAACUCUACCGAUUUGAGUUUGGGUCUCGGCCUUGCUCCGGUAGAGCUCUGCUUUGUUCUUGCCAACAACCAACAAUGCUUUCGUUCAAACUGCUUCCAUCCAAGUGUUGGGAUAGUUUUCCUGGGAGAUAUCUGCAUUGCUCCGAUAUCAACGCUGGCAGCCCGGCGCGUAGAUCGUAGCUUCAUCAUUCUUCCUGCAGUCGGGGCAUCUCUGCCGUUUGAGUAUGGGUCUCGGCCUUACUCCGGUAGAGCUCUGCCUUGUUCUUGCCAACAACCAACAAUGCUUCCAUCCAAGUGCUGGGAUAGUUUGCCACCCGAUAUCUCGGACUGCGAUUCUUGGCUCAUCUGUGAGCGCCCACAUCCACAAAGGAUUCCACACAUCGUUGGAACUUUUCUUCCUCUGUGAGAAUUCUGCUUUGCUCCGAUAUCAACGCUGGCAGCCCGGCGCGUAGAUCGUAGCUUCAUCAUUUUUCCUGCAGUCGGGGCAUCUCUGCCGUUUGAGUAUGGGUCUCGGCUUUACUCCGGUAGAGCUCUGCCUUGUUCUUGCCAACAACCAACAAUGCUUCCAUCCAAGUGCUGGGAUAGUUUGCCACCCGAUAUCUCGGACUGUGAUUCUUGGCUCAUCUGUGAGCGCCUACAUCCACAAAGGAUUCCAACACCGUUGAAACUGUUUCUUCCUCUGGGAGAAUUCUGCUUUGCUCCGAUAUCAACGCUGGUAGCCCGGCACGUAGAUCGGACUCAAUCGUUAGUCAGCGAUUGUUGGAUACGUUCUCUCAUCAUCGAAAGCUCCAUCAUUUUUCCUGCAGUCGGGGCAUCUCUGCCGUUUGAGUAUGGGUCUCGGCCUUACUCCGGUAGAGCUCUGCCUUGUUCUUGCCAACAACCAACAAUGCUUCCAUCCAAGUGCUGGGAUAGUUUGCCACCCGAUAUCUCGGACUGCGAUUCUUGGCUCAUCUGUGAGCGCCUACAUCCACAAAGGAUUCCACACACCGUUGAAACUGUUUCUUCCUCUGGGAGAAUUCUGCUUUGCUCCGAUAUCAACGCUGGCAGCCCGGCACGUAGAUCGGACUCAAUCGUUAGUCAGCGAUUGUUGGAUACGUUCUCUCAUCAUCGAAAGCUCCAUCAUUUUUCCUGCAGUCGGGGCAUCUCUGCCGUUUGAGUAUGGGUCUCGGCCUUACUCCGGUAGAGCUCUGCCUUGUUCUUGCCAACAACCAACAAUGCUUCCGUCCAAGUGCUGGGAUAGUUUGCCACCCGAUAUCUCGGACUGUGAUUCUUGGCUCAUCUGUGAGCGCCUACAUCCACAAAGGAUUCCACACACCGUUGAAACUGUUUCUUCCUCUGGGAGAAUUCUGCUUUGCUCCGAUAUCAACGCUGGCAGCCCGGCACGUAGAUCGGACUCAAUCGUUAGUCAGCGAUUGUUGGAUACGUUCUCUCAUCAUCGAAAGCUCCAUCAUUUUUCCUGCAGUCGGGGCAUCUCUGCCGUUUGAGUAUGGGUCUCGGCCUUACUCCGGUAGAGCUCUGCCUUGUUCUUGCCAACAACCAACAAUGCUUCCAUCCAAGUGCUGGGAUAGUUUGCCACCCGAUAUCUCGGACUGCGAUUCUUGGCUCAUCUGUGAGCGCCUACAUCCACAAAGGAUUCCACACACCGUUGAAACUGUUUCUUCCUCUGGGAGAAUUCUGCUUUGCUCCGAUAUCAACGCUGGCAGCCCGGCACGUAGAUCGGACUCAAUCGUUAGUCAGCGAUUGUUGGAUACGUUCUCUCAUCAUCGAAAGCUCCAUCAUUUUUCCUGCAGUCGGGGCAUCUCUGCCGUUUGAGUAUGGGUCUCGGCCUUACUCCGGUAGAGCUCUGCCUUGUUCUUGCCAACAACCAACAAUGCUUCCAUCCAAGUGCUGGGAUAGUUUGCCACCCGAUAUCUCGGACUGUGAUUCUUGGCUCAUCUGUGAGCGCCUACAUCCACAAAGGAUUCCACACACCGUUGAAACUGUUUCUUCCUCUGGGAGAAUUCUGCUUUGCUCCGAUAUCAACGCUGGCAGCCCGGCACGUAGAUCGGACUCAAUCGUUAGUCAGCGAUUGUUGGAUACGUUCUCUCAUCAUCGAAAGCUCCAUCAUUUUUCCUGCAGUCGGGGCAUCUCUGCCGUUUGAGUAUGGGUCUCGGCCUUACUCCGGUAGAGCUCUGCCUUGUUCUUGCCAACAACCAACAAUGCUUCCAUCCAAGUGCUGGGAUAGUUUGCCACCCGAUAUCUCGGACUGCGAUUCUUGGCUCAUCUGUGAGCGCCUACAUCCACAAAGGAUUCCACACACCGUUGAAACUGUUUCUUCCUCUGGGAGAAUUCUGCUUUGCUCCGAUAUCAACGCUGGCAGCCCGGCACGUAGAUCGGACUCAAUCGUUAGUCAGCGAUUGUUGGAUACGUUCUCUCAUCAUCGAAAGCUCCAUCAUUUUUCCUGCAGUCGGGGCAUCUCUGCCGUUUGAGUAUGGGUCUCGACUUUACUCCGGUAGAGCUCUGCCUUGUUCUUGCCAACAACCAACAAUGCUUCCAUCCAAGUGCUGGGAUAGUUUGCCGAACGUUUUCUCGGACUGUGAUUCAUGGCUCAUCUGUGAGCGCCUACAUUGACAAGGGAUUGCACACACCGUUGAAACUGUUUCUUCCUCUGGGAGAAUUCUGCUUCGCAGCGGUUUAAAAAUGGAACAACAUCAACAACUUACUUUACACGACGAAUUCUUAUAAUUAAGUCCGAUUUCAACGCAACCAUUUUAGCGCACGCACAAUAUGGUGCCAAUCUCAAUCAUUAUCCUCCGCCUGCUUCUGUUAAAACCUUGCAGUCAUGAUCACCAUCAUCACCACAAAAAUUUAGUUUGAGAUACAACAUUCGGGCAUUGUUCAAUCUAUGGUAUCCAUCAAACAAAUCUCUAAGAUGCUGGACAUUACUUCGUCUGAAUAUAAACAGCUUCGUUUGAAAAUGAUACCUAAUUGUAAUCAGCGAUCUUCAUCAAGCCAUCAACACCACAACAAGAAAAUCGGCCCUUUUCAGGGCCACCAAGUGUU
RNAcentral lists this long non-coding RNA (3278 nucleotides) under Aedes aegypti (yellow fever mosquito). RNAcentral's name for it is "lncRNA AAEL022955". The stretch from base 3248 to 3278 matches the Rfam family "Histone 3' UTR stem-loop", at positions 1 to 31 of the family's 46-position model. Lineage: Eukaryota; Metazoa; Arthropoda; Insecta; Diptera; Culicidae. The record is from RNAcentral.